This 195-nucleotide ribosomal RNA is filed under the name uncultured bacterium. RNAcentral's name for it is "partial 16S ribosomal RNA". It matches the Rfam family "Bacterial small subunit ribosomal RNA", at positions 338 to 524 of the family's 1533-position model. The record is from RNAcentral.
CCUACGGGAGGCAGCAGUAGGGAAUCUUCCGCAAUGGACGAAAGUCUGACGGAGCAACGCCGCGUGAGUGAUGAAGGUUUUCGGAUCGUAAAACUCUGUUGUUAGGGAAGAACAAGUACCGUUCGAACAGGGCGGUACCUUGACGGUACCUAACCAGAAAGCCACGGCUAACUACGUGCCAGCAGCCGCGGUAAU